AACGGACGAAGCCUCUCCCCCCCCCCACCAGCUUCCCCCGCCCGAAAGAACAAAGGGAACCUCUGCCGCCGCCCAGGCAACCUGGCCCGCCUCUUUCGCGGCGGCUCUCCGGCGCCGAGCCUGGGAGUCCCUGGAGGAGCUGGCGGGGGCUGCAAGCGCCGCAGGCUGGACUGGAGCCGGAGAUGACGCCCCUCCGGCCGGGAUUUUCAUCUGCUUCUGAGAGUUCCGGUGCUCCUCCAGCUGAUGGGACAGAAGGGAAGGAAGGAAAAUAAGGAAUGAGUACAUCAUGUAGCAGAAAUGACUGAAGAAUCUCCAUGAAAAAUGCGAACAAGCUGCCCAAGUGAAGAUGAUCUGAAGGCAUACAACUCUCCCCUUGGGGGCAACCCAUUUCCUUGCAUACGUGGAGAAAAUUCUCGCAAAGGCACUCACCAGUUCUGCGUAUUUCUUGCAGAGGGCUGCCAGCUUCUCCUCAGAGGUGCUGAGGGUGUUGAGGGUCUGCAUCAGAAGAGUGAUCUCCUUUCCUGGAAGCAAAGGACAAAGCAAAAUCUCAUUCAGAGCAAGCACAAAAACAUGGCAGCAGGGCAGUAUUCGAGAGGAGGAAACAGCACUGUCUUAGGAACUAAAAAGCCUCUAGAAUGUGGGAAAUAAAACUUAGACAUAUUCCAGUUA
Molecule: long non-coding RNA, 669 nt
Organism: Thamnophis elegans (Western terrestrial garter snake)
Lineage: Eukaryota; Metazoa; Chordata; Lepidosauria; Squamata; Natricidae
Exons: 3
Source: RefSeq, a predicted model, not a curated record